Molecule: long non-coding RNA, 1039 nt
Organism: Pyrus x bretschneideri (Chinese white pear)
Lineage: Eukaryota; Viridiplantae; Streptophyta; Magnoliopsida; Rosales; Rosaceae
Exons: 6
Source: RefSeq, a predicted model, not a curated record
AGAGAGAGAGAGAGGGAGAGGCUUCCUAUGCCAUUCAUUUCUCUCUCGGGAUUUUGAAGAUUCAAUGCUUUGAUAUGUGCCUUACUUUGAUCAAGUCCCUUGAUUUCUCUUAAAGGUUUGUGGGUUUGUUUCGAUCUUUCGUUUUUUUUUUUUUUUUUUGAAAUUUCGAAUGUUCUUGGUUUCGAUUGUUUUUCAGAUUUUCGGACGUUUUCUUAUUGUUCUUCGUGUUCUAGAUCAUGAGUUUUUCUGAUUUCAUUCAAAUUUUAAUUUGGGGAUUUUGAUUUCUGUUGUUUGAUGGUGAUAUCCUAUUGGAGGUGAUAUAAAUGGGAUCAAAGGAGAACAACCCAGCUCUCGUUAGGCCUUCAAAUUUCCAAGAAAAGAUGCUGUGGAAUGAGGUUUGCACAAUUGCUCCAGCAGCAGCCGAAGGAAACCAAGGAAGUGUCUGUGAGUUCAUUUGCUGCAAAUUCAAAGGCUGUGGAGAAUAUUGAGGAUGAGGCUUGUGAUGCUCAUGUGCCAAUGUUCGUUAAGCACACCCAAGUAGGAUGGAAGAAGAUGAAAAUGUGGAGGAUGAGGACCCCAUUAUGGACAGCAGCAGCUCUAAGGAUCCGCUUAAUUUUGUUAAGUACAUAGCUGACAUCUACGCUCACUACGGCGAAAUUGAGAUGAGCUUCGAAACUGAAAGCACUGCAUGAAUCCUAACUGAAAGCUGAUGAAACUUUGGACUAACCGGACUAGCACAGUGGACAUUUCUGCAUUUGGACCCCCCGAUCUGUAGGAAAGUGUAUCUAGGAAUUUCACAGUGAUGUAUAAUUUAUGGGGUGGGAGUGAGUUGAGUGGAGCGAGUGGGUCCAAAUGCAGAAACUUCAUCAGAAUUGCCCUGGUAUGUUUUCUAAAAUCCCCCUCAAUAACUGUUGUUUGUUUGAAAUUUCUGUUGCUUUAACUGCUUUAAAUUCUCUGCCAGUUGAUAAUGUAGAACUGAUGUAUGUGGUUGAUGAUAAUGUAAACUUGCUGCUGGAUGCAGGAUCCAGUUUUACUUUUA